RNAcentral lists this ribosomal RNA (301 nucleotides) under uncultured bacterium. RNAcentral's name for it is "partial 16S ribosomal RNA". It matches the Rfam family "Bacterial small subunit ribosomal RNA", at positions 509 to 807 of the family's 1533-position model. The record is from RNAcentral.
CAGCAGCCACGGUAAUACAGAGGGUGCGAGCGUUAAUCGGAUUUACUGGGCGUAAAGCGUGCGUAGGCGGCUUCUUAAGUCGGAUGUGAAAUCCCUGAGCUUAACUUAGGAAUUGCAUUCGAUACUGGGAAGCUAGAGUAUGGGAGAGGAUGGUAGAAUUCCAGGUGUAGCGGUGAAAUGCGUAGAGAUCUGGAGGAAUACCGAUGGCGAAGGCAGCCAUCUGGCCUAAUACUGACGCUGAGGUACGAAAGCAUGGGGAGCAAACAGGAUUAGAUACCCCGGUAGUCCCUGUCUCUUAUAC